CACAUUCACUAGCUGAAAGCUUUGCCACCCGGACAAAAAAUGGUGGCUCUGGAGCUCUUCCACUCCUCCACUCUCUCUAAAACCCUUUCCCUCCUCUCCCCAUUGGCAUUUCCCAAAACUCCCCUUCCUCCCUCCCUCUUCCCUCCAACUCUCCGCUCUCUCUCCCUCUCUCCCCUCCCCCCCUCUCUCCCAAAACGUUCUUUUCUUCCCCAUUGCCUUUCCCGCUUCCCUCACGCCAACCAACAGCAAGAAGAACAAGUAAAAGAGGAGCUAGAAGAAGAGGAACUCGAAGAAUUCGGCGAGGACGAGGAAGAAGGCGAUGAAUCCAAAGGCCAGGAUUUUUCGGAUGUCGACGUCGAUGCUCUCGAAGAAGAAGCGAGAUAUGCGUUUCUUCAAUACUCUAGCUCGUUGUCGCGUGAAUUGAGAAUCGAGGACGAGGCGGAUGAUCAAACCCGCAGGAAUCAAAAAGGGGGAAGGCGUAAAACUACGACUACAAGUAUCCCCGACCAUCUUCUUCCGAGGGUUACAAUUGUUGGAAGGCCAAACGUUGGUAAAUCAGCAUUAUAUAAUCGUCUUGUCGGGUUACAAUUAUUGUUAGCUUUUCGCCCGCAGCGGAUGAUUGCUGAGUGGCUGCAGAAGAACCACUCAAAUAAGUUUGUCAUUCUUGCAGUUAACAAGUGUGAAUCUCCUCAUAAGGGAAUGAUGCAAGCAUCAGAAUUUUGGUCCUUUGCGUGAGUUUUUCUUUUACAGAAAGAGUAUUGGAAUUCUAUCAAAUGGCAGGCGCAUAUUAGUUAAUAAUACUUACAGGUUUUUCCAAGACAAGUUGAGUGACUAAAAAUUUAGAUGGACAUAAUUUCAUUAUUUUGGUAACGAAAUUCAAGUUUCUCCAUUCCAAUGUCAAAGUAAUGUCUCCAAGUGCUGAUACUUGCAUUUUAUCUCUGGGAUCUGUUUAGUAUCUACUCUCUCUCUCUCUCUCUCUCUCUCCCUCCCUCUGUGUGUGUGUGUGUGUGUUUGUGUGUCGACAGUCUUGGCUAUCUACCAAUACAUUCGAUUUGUAGUAUAUCUUUCAUUAUUAACACAAUCUGUUUGUAUCAUUGGCAUUGUAGCAUAUAUGUGGUGGACUUAAAUUCUCUAUUUCUUCAUGAAUCUGGUUCUAAUUACCUCCUUUUUUGGUUGAUCAACUUGCUUUUCCCCACUUCCCAUAUCUGCUCUGUCUGGGACGGGAACUGGAGAUCUUCUUGAUCUUGUUUGUUCAGGACUU
Molecule: RNA transcript, 1261 nt
Organism: Juglans regia (Persian walnut)
Lineage: Eukaryota; Viridiplantae; Streptophyta; Magnoliopsida; Fagales; Juglandaceae
Exons: 4
Source: RefSeq, a predicted model, not a curated record